This 238-nucleotide unclassified non-coding RNA is filed under the name uncultured fungus. RNAcentral describes it as "sequence contains ITS1, 5.8S rRNA gene". The stretch from base 190 to 238 matches the Rfam family "5.8S ribosomal RNA", at positions 1 to 49 of the family's 154-position model. The record is from RNAcentral. Lineage: Eukaryota; Fungi.
UCUCCGUUGGUGAACCAGCGGAGGGAUCAUUACAGGACGUCACACUCCCGUAAUACCACUGUGAAUCUUACCUAUGUACGUCGUUGCCUCGGCGCGGCGCGGCCCCGGUCACACGGGGCGGCCCGCCGGCGGCCAACCAAACUCUUGUUUCUACAGUGAAUCUCUGAGUAAAAAACAUAAAUGAAUCAAAACUUUCAACAACGGAUCUCUUGGUUCUGGCAUCGAUGAAGAACGCAGC